RNAcentral lists this ribosomal RNA (520 nucleotides) under uncultured Bacillus sp. RNAcentral describes it as "bacterial SSU rRNA". It matches the Rfam family "Bacterial small subunit ribosomal RNA", at positions 35 to 538 of the family's 1533-position model. The record is from RNAcentral. Lineage: Bacteria; Bacillati; Bacillota; Bacilli; Caryophanales; Bacillaceae.
GGCUGGCGGCGUCCUCAUACAUGUCAGUCGAGCGAAUCUUUGGGAGCUUGCUCCUAAAGGUUAGCGGCGGACGGGUGAGUAACACGUGGGCAACCUGCCUAUAAGACUGGGAUAACUUCGGGAAACCGGAGCUAAUACCGGAUAAUUCUUUUCUACACAUGUAGGAAAGCUGAAAGACGGCUUACGCUGUCACUUGUAGAUGGGCCCGCGGCGCAUUAGCUAGUUGGUGGGGUAACGGCUCACCAAGGCCACGAUGCGUAGCCGACCUGAGAGGGUGAUCGGCCACACUGGGACUGAGACACGGCCCAGACUCCUACGGGAGGCAGCAGUAGGGAAUCUUCCGCAAUGGACGAAAGUCUGACGGAGCAACGCCGCGUGAGUGAUGAAGGUUUUCGGAUCGUAAAACUCUGUUGUUAGGGAAGACCAAGUACGAGAGUAACUGCUCGUACCUUGACGGUACCUAACUAGAAAGCCACGGCUAACUACGUGCCAGCAGCCGCGGUAAUACGUAGGUGGCAAG